Rattus norvegicus (Norway rat) is the source of this 135-nucleotide small nucleolar RNA. Ensembl annotates it as small nucleolar RNA SNORA17. Lineage: Eukaryota; Metazoa; Chordata; Mammalia; Rodentia; Muridae. The record is from Ensembl.
UCUGGCUCUAGAGGCUUGGAGGUGUGGUUGCUGUGGCACCUGUGUACCAGCCAGUAGGUUGCAGAGAGGGGAAUUAUUAUGCCUCUGCUCUGUGUUGUGACCUAUGAAUAUCUGAAUGAUUAGUAGCAUAUCAUU